UACGUAGGGUGCGAGCGUUGUCCGGAAUUAUUGGGCGUAAAGAGCUCGUAGGCGGUUCGUCGCGUCGAAUGUGAAAACCCGGGGCUCAACUCCGGGCUUGCAUUCGAUACGGGCGGACUAGAGUUCGGUAGGGGAGACUGGAAUUCCUGGUGUAGCGGUGAAAUGCGCAGAUAUCAGGAGGAACACCGGUGGCGAAGGCGGGUCUCUGGGCCGAUACUGACGCUGAGGAGCGAAAGCGUGGGGAGCGAACAGG
RNAcentral lists this non-coding RNA (253 nucleotides) under uncultured bacterium. RNAcentral's name for it is "partial 16S ribosomal RNA". It matches the Rfam family "Bacterial small subunit ribosomal RNA", at positions 524 to 776 of the family's 1533-position model. RNAcentral also lists the same sequence under 1 other name. The record is from RNAcentral.